Molecule: ribosomal RNA, 403 nt
Filed under: uncultured Methanosaeta sp.
Lineage: Archaea; Methanobacteriati; Methanobacteriota; Methanomicrobia; Methanotrichales; Methanotrichaceae
Description: bacterial SSU rRNA
Rfam family: Archaeal small subunit ribosomal RNA
Source: RNAcentral
CGACAGCAAUAUGAAGGUCAGGCUGAAGACCUUACCCGAUUUAGCUGAGAGGUGGUGCAUGGCCGUCGUCAGUUCGUACUGUGAAGCAUCCUGUUAAGUCAGGCAACGAGCGAGACCCACGUCCACAGUUGCCAGCAUACCCUCCGGGGUGAUGGGUACACUGUGGAGACCGCCGCUGCUAAAGCGGAGGAAGGAGUGGGCAACGGUAGGUCAGUAUGCCCCGAAUCUCCCGGGCUACACGCGGGCUACAAUGGUUGGUACAAUGGGCAUCUACCCCGAAAGGGGAAGGAAAUCUCUUAAAGCCAAUCGUAGUUCGGAUUGAGGGCUGCAACUCGCCCUCAUGAAGCUGGAAUCCGUAGUAAUCGCGUUUCAACAGAACGCGGUGAAUACGUCCCUGCUCCUU